Molecule: long non-coding RNA, 277 nt
Filed under: Lathyrus oleraceus (garden pea)
Lineage: Eukaryota; Viridiplantae; Streptophyta; Magnoliopsida; Fabales; Fabaceae
Description: Pisum sativum (pea) long non-coding RNA (PSAT_LNC007330)
Source: RNAcentral
UAAAGCAAAGAUUUUCCAUUUCAUCACUUUCACUUGAGCUACCCGCCUUGGAGGAUUCACUAUCACUAUCCCAUACGAUGUAUGCUCUUCUAGACUUGCUAGACUUCUUUUAUUGUCCCUUUCCUUUAUCCUUCUUAAGCAAUGUACAACCCUACUUGUAAUGACCGACUCUUCCACAAUUAUAGCAUGAACCUUUAGAUUUUUCCUUCUUAUUCUCAUCUUCCAUUGAGGUAUUUGAAUGCCUUCUAUAGUUGAUGAGAUUCUUGUCGGAAUGCUU